GACGAACGCUGGCGGCGUGCUUAACACAUGCAAGUCGAACGGAAAGGCCCUGCUUUUGUGGGGUGCUCGAGUGGCGAACGGGUGAGUAACACGUGAGUAACCUGCCCUUGACUUUGGGAUAACUUCAGGAAACUGGGGCUAAUACCGGAUAGGAUCUCCUGCUGCAUGGUGGGGGUUGGAAAGUUUCGGCGGUUGGGGAUGGACUCGCGGCUUAUCAGCUUGUUGGUGGGGUAGUGGCUUACCAAGGCUUUGACGGGUAGCCGGCCUGAGAGGGGGACCGGCCACAUUGGGACUGAGAUACGGCCCAGAAUCCUACGGGAGGCAGCAGUGGAGAAUAUUGCACAAUGGGCGGAAACCUGAUGCAGCAACGCCGCGUGCGGGAUGACGGCCUUCGGGUUGUAAACCGCUUUCGCCUGUGACGAAGCGUGAGUGACGGUAAUGGGUAAAGAAGCACCGGCUAACUACGUG
This 468-nucleotide ribosomal RNA is filed under the name uncultured bacterium. Its description in RNAcentral is "partial 16S ribosomal RNA". It matches the Rfam family "Bacterial small subunit ribosomal RNA", at positions 28 to 507 of the family's 1533-position model. The record is from RNAcentral.